RNAcentral lists this transfer RNA (73 nucleotides) under Ophiopholis mirabilis. RNAcentral describes it as "tRNA-Lys". It matches the Rfam family "tRNA". From Rfam's summary of the family: Transfer RNA (tRNA) molecules are approximately 80 nucleotides in length. Their secondary structure includes four short double-helical elements and three loops (D, anti-codon, and T loops). The record is from RNAcentral. Lineage: Eukaryota; Metazoa; Echinodermata; Ophiuroidea; Amphilepidida; Ophiactidae.
AUUUAAUUAGCUUAAGAGAAAAGCAUAGGACUCUUAAUCCUACUAAGGAGGAUAAAUCAACCUCCAUUAAAUC